Molecule: ribosomal RNA, 253 nt
Filed under: uncultured bacterium
Lineage: Bacteria
Description: partial 16S ribosomal RNA
Rfam family: Bacterial small subunit ribosomal RNA
Source: RNAcentral
UACAGAGGUCCCGAGCGUUGUUCGGAUUCACUGGGCGUAAAGGGUGCGUAGGCGGUUCUGAAAGUCUGAUGUGAAAUCUCCAGGCCCAACCUGGAAAUGGCAUUAGAAACUACAGGGCUAGAGGCUUGGAGGGGGAACUGGAAUGCUCGGUGUAGCAGUGAAAUGCGUAGAGAUCGAGCGGAACACCAGUGGCGAAGGCGAGUUCCUGGACAAGUCCUGACGCUGAGGCACGAAAGCCGGGGGAGCAAACAGG